GUGAGUUGUUCUAUUUUUCUUGGCCUCCGUUUCCACAUCUCUAAAAUGGGCAUGGGGUCUGGAGAGUGCUAGCACAGUGCUGGGUCUGGAGCUGUCGCUCAGCUGGCUGGGAUGUCUUCUUCUUCUUCUUCUUCUUGAUUCAUUUUUAUUUGUCAUUAAUGACAUCUUCUCCUAGCAAAGAAAGAUACCAGCACUAAGAGCUCUCAAGCUUUUGGUCAUCUGAUCAGAGACGGAUUCGGAGGACAGAGCCGGCCCGUCCCCUGGACUUCGCACGGAGCCGCAGGCAGGGUGUUACGAGAGGGCACAGAGCCAGUGACACUUGGGUUAUGGCAACUGCCCCGAUGUCAUCGUCACCCACAGGAAGUGCCAUCAAGGCCCCCGGGGGAGCCGUGUGUCCCUGCCGCCUGAUUCUCGGAAUGGUAACCCGCAGCUCGAGGAGUGCCCGGGCUCUGACCUCCUCCUGCUCCUCGCUCACUCCAGAGGGACCCGGAGGGGACGGAAGUGGAGAAGGGGAGGUGACUGAAAGGCAGAGAAGGACCCCCACAAACAGUAAGCCCGUUGCCUGACACCUGGCGAGUGCUUUCAUGGGAAGCCUUUCCUUUCUUUGUCCCAUGAGCAACACGAGGCACAGGACUGGGAACCAAGGCCGUGAGCAGUCCAAGGCUGCCCGCUUAAACCAAGGAGGCAGAGGGGCCUGAGGCUUGCCUCUGAUUCUGAGUCCCUGGGUCCUGCCAUGAGUGACAGGAGGCCUGUGCCACAGGAGACGGCAGGAGAGGGAGCGGGUCUGUGACCUAGAGGGUGGUGGGGACUGGUAGCAGCCAGCUCGACGGGUCUCAGAUCCCUGCGCUCCAAACGGGGCAAGACAACCAAGGUCAAAGGAAGGUGAGCCCUUAACAUCAGGAUAUAGUUUUCUGGGAUGGGACUCUCCCAGGCAUAGAGGCCAAAGGAUCUGCUUUUGGCCCGGGAUCUGCUUCGGGACCAUCUGGACCCAUCAUCUCCAGGCCAC
RNAcentral lists this long non-coding RNA (1006 nucleotides) under Felis catus (domestic cat). RNAcentral describes it as "lncRNA (ENSFCAG00000048081.1)". Lineage: Eukaryota; Metazoa; Chordata; Mammalia; Carnivora; Felidae. The record is from RNAcentral.